This is a non-coding RNA of Vicia faba (fava bean), 216 nucleotides long. The record is from the annotation of a GenBank genome assembly. Lineage: Eukaryota; Viridiplantae; Streptophyta; Magnoliopsida; Fabales; Fabaceae.
AUGCAACUUCAAUCUCCACUCCUAUUUCUUUCUUUUGUUUCUGUUAUACGUUUUAAUACUGAAGCUUCAUGUGGUUGUUGCAAUGUUGAUCGUCAUUGUUGUAUAUUUGUGGUGAUGAUGAUGACGAUCGCAAAGAUUUGGAAGACUGCAUGGAAAGAUCCGAGACAGACUGGACGCCUUUUUUCUAGUUUUUUGGUGAUGGAGGAUGGUGAUUAA